Molecule: ribosomal RNA, 453 nt
Filed under: Hypostomus rhantos
Lineage: Eukaryota; Metazoa; Chordata; Actinopteri; Siluriformes; Loricariidae
Description: partial 16S ribosomal RNA
Rfam family: Bacterial large subunit ribosomal RNA
Source: RNAcentral
GUAUUUUGACCGUGCAAAGGUAGCGCAAUCACUUGUCUUUUAAAUGAAGACCUGUAUGAAUGGUGGAACGAGGGCUUAACUGUCUCCCCCUUCUAGUCAAUGAAAUUGAUCUACCCGUGCAGAAGCGGGUAUAAUGAUACAAGACGAGAAGACCCUUUGGAGCUUAAGAUAAAAAACCAACUAUGUCAAAAGUCCUAAAAAAGACUAAACCAAAUAGUACUGGUUCUAAUCUUCGGUUGGGGUGACCACGGGAGAAAACAAAGCUCCCAUGCGGAUUGGGGUAAUUCCCUAAAACUAAGAGAGACAUCUCUAAGACGCAGAACAUCUGACCAUAAAGAUCCGGCUACAUGCCGACCAACGGACCAAGUUACCCUAGGGAUAACAGCGCAAUCCCCUUCCAGAGUCCAUAUCGACAAGGGGGUUUACGACCUCGAUGUUGGAUCAGGACAUCCU